This 539-nucleotide ribosomal RNA is filed under the name uncultured bacterium. Its description in RNAcentral is "bacterial SSU rRNA". It matches the Rfam family "Bacterial small subunit ribosomal RNA", at positions 356 to 896 of the family's 1533-position model. The record is from RNAcentral.
GAGGAAUAUUGGUCAAUGGGCGAGAGCCUGAACCAGCCAAGUAGCGUGCAGGAUGACGGCCCUAUGGGUUGUAAACUGCUUUUGUAUGGGGAUAAAGUCAAUCACGUGUGAUUGUUUGCAGGUACCAUACGAAUAAGGACCGGCUAAUUCCGUGCCAGCAGCCGCGGUAAUACGGAAGGUCCAGGCGUUAUCCGGAUUUAUUGGGUUUAAAGGGAGCGUAGGCUGGAGAUUAAGUGUGUUGUGAAAUGUAGACGCUCAACGUCUGAAUUGCAGCGCAUACUGGUUUCCUUGAGUACGCACAACGUUGGCGGAAUUCGUCGUGUAGCGGUGAAAUGCUUAGAUAUGACGAAGAACUCCGAUUGCGAAGGCAGCUGACGGGAGCGCAACUGACGCUUAAGCUCGAAGGUGCGGGUAUCAAACAGGAUUAGAUACCCUGGUAGUCCGCACAGUAAACGAUGGAUGCCCGCUGUUGGUACCUGGUAUCAGCGGCUAAGCGAAAGCAUUAAGCAUCCCACCUGGGGAGUACGCCGGCAACGGUG